RNAcentral lists this ribosomal RNA (778 nucleotides) under Bacillus marcorestinctum. RNAcentral's name for it is "bacterial SSU rRNA". It matches the Rfam family "Bacterial small subunit ribosomal RNA", at positions 79 to 841 of the family's 1533-position model. The record is from RNAcentral. Lineage: Bacteria; Bacillati; Bacillota; Bacilli; Caryophanales; Bacillaceae.
UGCUCUUAUGAAGUUAGCGGCGGACGGGUGAGUAACACGUGGGUAACCUACCCAUAAGACUGGGAUAACUCCGGGAAACCGGGGCUAAUACCGGAUAAUAUUUUGAACUGCAUAGUUCGAAAUUGAAAGGCGGCUUCGGCUGUCACUUAUGGAUGGACCCGCGUCGCAUUAGCUAGUUGGUGAGGUAACGGCUCACCAAGGCGACGAUGCGUAACCGACCUGAGAGGGUGAUCGGCCACACUGGGACUGAGACACGGCCCACACUCCUACGGGAGGCAGCAGUAGGGAAUCUUCCGCAAUGGACGAAAGUCUGACGGACCAACGCCGCGUGAGUGAUGAAGGCUUUCGGGUCGUAAAACUCUGUUGUUAGGGAAGAACAAGUGCUAGUUGAAUAAGCUGGCACCUUGACGGUACCUAACCAGAAAGCCACGGCUAACUACGUGCCAGCAGCCGCGGUAAUACGUAGGUGGCAAGCGUUAUCCGGAAUUAUUGGGCGUAAAGCGCGCGCAGGUGGUUUCUUAAGUCUGAUGUGAAAGCCCACGGCUCAACCGUGGAGGGUCAUUGGAAACUGGGAGACUUGAGUGCAAAAGAGGAGAGUGGCAUUCCAUGUGUAGCGGUGAAAUGCAUAUAGAUAUGGAGGAACACCAGUGGCGAAAGCUACUUUCUGGUCUGUAACUGACACUGAGGCGCGAAAGCGUGGGGAGCAAACAGGAUUACAUACCCUGGUAGUCCACGCCGUAAACGAUGAGUGCUAAGUGUUAGAGGGUUUCCGCCCUUU